Prinia subflava (tawny-flanked prinia) is the source of this 5426-nucleotide long non-coding RNA. RefSeq lists it as uncharacterized. The transcript has 3 exons. The record is from RefSeq and is a predicted model, not a curated record. NCBI's taxonomy places the organism in Eukaryota, Metazoa, Chordata, Aves, Passeriformes, Cisticolidae.
ACAUACAUUGUCCUCUUUAUUCUCGAAAUGGCUGGUUUUAUACAGUGUCAGAUAGUUUACAGUUUCAGGUGCUUUCUAAUUGGCAUCCAGCAUGAUAAAGAAUGCAAACAAUCUUAGCUUAAGGACGCUACCGUGAUUCUACUCUAACUGUCCUAUCUAAAGCAUGUACACACCUUAAAUUCUAACUGCGCCACAGGUUUAUCUACUUCUACACGGGCCCAAAUCUGAGGCCUAGCAGGCCCAAAUCUGAGGCCCAGUUUGGGAUAACUCAAACUUCAUUCCAUAACACAUCAUGCUUCUGCUACACGCGUGGUCAAGGAUUUGUUCAAAUUAAAUGGUAAGAACAACCAUUCCAAGAUUUUUAGUGGUUGUUUAGCCUCGCUAUCCCACUGCAUCAGUAUAGCCAUCACUUGUGCUUCCUUUUUCAGCACAGCUACAGACAGUGGCAAAGCAGGUGACCAGCGAUCUGCAAAGGAAUUAUCCAAUUUAGUGGCAAUCUGAGUCAAAGCCGUCUGUUGCUUUUCAGUUAGUUCAUGCAGCAAAUUGGCCUGAUUAUCCCCUUUCAAUAAUGGCAUUAAGGGCUCAAGGUCUUCAUUAGUUAUGUCACAGGUGGUAUGAAUCCACUGCAUGUCUUCAAUUAACUUUUGAGCAUCUGUCAAAGUCCAAAUUUCUGUACAAAUAGUUAAUCUUGGGGGCCAAAUUUGGGCUUCAGUGAUAAGCAUUCCCAAAUAUUUCCAUGGGGCCUGUUGUUGAACCUUUUCAGGGGCAACUUGAAGGCCUGCUGGCCGCAAUUUUUUCUGUAAGGCAGGUAGCAGGUUUGCGGCAUCCAAGUGUUCUGCUAUCAGAAUAUCAUCCAUGUAAUUAUAGAUAAGAUACUGUGGGUGCUGUUUUCUCAGUGAGGCUAGGGCCCAGGUGACACAGUUGGACACAAAAGAACCACGUGACUCACGGAUGACCCAGCAGGAAAGAAAAGCAGAACUUUACUUUCUUUCAUAUUUAUACAUUUUUGGCACCAGUUGUGGAUUGGUGGAUGGGAUCAUGACCCCUCCAACCACACUGGUCAAACAGACAGUCAAUCAGUUCUUCUCCUCCUCCAAAAAGGAAUGUAAACAAAAAACUACCGUUAGGUAAACAGUGCUAUUUUUACAUUAAGAAACUGUUAGAAGCGUGAGAAUCUGACUCCAAUAAAAUAAACACUCAGAAGGCUAAGAAAAUUCCAAAAGAACAGGGCGACACCCAGGCAACAUACAGUUGGCACAUCAUAGGAGAGUUACACAUCCCUCAGGGCAUUACGAACCAUUGAUACCUCUUUGCUGGUUCUGCCUUAUUAAUGGAUGGCACUGAGAAGGCAAACUUCUUGCUGUCAUACUCAUGGAGAGGAAUUGUGAAAAAACAGUCCUUUAGGUCAAUGAUCAGCAAUUGCCAAUUCACAGGUAACAUUGCUGGUGAGGGUAAACCAGCCUGCAGGGAUCCCAUUUCCUGCACUGUCAAAUUAACAGCUUGAAGGUCAUGUAUUAACCUCCACUUUCCUGAUUUUUUAGGGAUUGUAAAAAUGGGCAUAAUCCAGGGGCUCAUAGAAGAUAUUAUAUGCCCAUUUGUCAAUUGCUCAUCAACCAAUUCCGUAACAUGGGCAAGCUUUUCUUUAGACAGCAGCCAUUGGUCAAUCCAUAUUGGUGUUUCUGUUAACCAUUUUAGCUUUAGGAUUGGCCGCCCCUCAAUGGCUGCUGCUAAAAACCCUCAUUGGUAAGACAGAAACCCAUCUGGCUCAAUGCAUCCUGUCCCAGUAGCCAGAUUGUUGUAUUCAUUACAUAAGGUCUCACCUGGGCACAAACAUGUGCUUCAUUAUCAACCCACACUGUUAAAAGUGUUUCACUAACUCGAGUCAUUUGCAUGUCCCCCACCCCAUAACAGGUGUUCCCAGGGUAGUCAGAGGUCAUGCAGCAGGCCAUGCAAAUGAGGGAACAGUGGUCAUGUCUGCACCUGUGUCAAGCAACGCAGCUUUUCUUGUCAGGGUUCCUCCAUCGGGGUGCUGGAAGGUAAUGGGUUUAAUUGGUUUGGUUCCUGUUAAUGGUGGGGUAAACAUCACCUGAGGGGUUCCCGUUUACCCAAAACCUCCAUCCCCCUCAGCAUAACCCCUUAUCUAGGAACCUGAGCCUUAAAGGGAAUAAGCUGUUCCAGUCUGGUUCCUUUUGGAAUGUGAAUAGAUGGUCUCAGUGUUUGCACCAUUAUCCCAAUAUUGCCCAAAUAAUCUGCAUCAAUUAGUCCAGGCAAAACAAAAAUGCCUUGCUUUGAUGUGGAUGAUCUCCCUAUCAGCAGGGCACUAAGUCCAUGUCCUAAGCAUCCAUUUACCAUUGAUGGAACAAUCUGCACAUCAGUGUCAUUAAAGGUUAACUCUAUUGCUGUUUCCAGGGCUACUCCUGCACUUCCUGGGAUUGCUGAGUUGAGGAUAUCCAGGCAGCUGUCUGGUUUUGAGGGUGCAUUUGUGUCAUCGCAGGUCCUCCUUUUGCUCUCAGUCUCUCGUUUCCCAGCAGUGUUCCAUCUUUCUUAUGACUCAACUUGCAUUUGCUAGCUCAGUGUCCAAACUUAUCAUACCUGUUGCGGUUUCUUGAGAAACCAGUAGAUGUCACUGUUGCUUUACUUUUCUUCACAGCUCUGCACAGAGCUUUUAGGCGCCCAAACUUGCCACAAUUGUAACAUUUCAGAUUAUUACCUUUUCCUUGUUGACCCAAUGGUUUAAGAGCCGCUGACAUCACUUCAGCUAAGUAAGUAGCUUUUUCUUCUGGAGUUCCAACUCUCGAGCAAGCCUCUAUCAUAUCUACAAGAGUCGCUGUACGUGACAGCGUUUGCAAAAUUCUCUUACAGGUGGAAUUUGCAUUCUCCACGGACAACUGCAUUCCUAAAACGGCUUUAACAUCUGGAGACAUUCCUGGAACUGAAUUGAUUGCCUCUCUAAGGUGGUCUAGAAAACUCAUAAAAGUCUCUUUUGCCUCUUUGGUAUAAGAUGGUGUUGGAAGUCCCAUAUCUGGGGCAGCAUGGAAUGCUUCCCUUGCUAACUUCUGAGACUGUUGUAAGAUUGCAGCAUGUAGUCUGGCUUGCUCUUGAGAAUCAGAAAAAGGCCUUUUUCCCAGCAUCAUCUCAGGAGCAGCGAACUGCCAUGGGUCCCUGCUGAGGCCGUUUCUACAGGUUAAUAGAUCUUAAAGGUCCAAGAACAUUUUAAAGUCUUAUACAAAGUUGUUUAUUACAUGAAAGCAUAUCUCUGAAGGUGCAAGAGUCCUAAAUGAGUGGUCUUACAAUCGAUUAUGAGUAUAAAGUCUUAGAAAUUAAAUACCAGAAUAAACAGUAGUCUUAACAUGGAAUUUAACAUAACAUUCCAACCUUAGGAUAAAAAAAACCCCUCCAACUCCUGACCCCAAUCAGGGUUCCCAGCCACGGGGUUGCAGUGGCAGGAAGGGGUCCCAGGAUCACGAAUCCCAAACAGGUUUCCCAGCCGCAGGGUCACAGUGGCAGGAAGGGAUCCCGGGGUCCCAAACCCGCACAGAGUCCCCGGCAGCCCCGAACAGAGUUCCGGGGCAAGCGCCACAAGGGGAAAGGGAAAGGGAAAGGGAAAGGGAAAGGGAAAGGGAAAGGGAAAGGGAAAGGGAAAUGGAAAGGGAAAGGGAAAGGGAAAGGGAAAGGGAAAGGGAAAGGGAAAGGGAAAGGGAAAGGGAAAGGGAAAGGGAAAGGGAAAGGGAAAGGGAAAGGGAAAGGGAAAGGGAGGGACCCUGGGGCUCUGAUCCCACGCGACAAAGACUACAAUAGAUAGUACCUUUAGAAUCCCAUUUCAGCUCCCUGGUAGGGCUCGUUCCUCAGGCUGCAGAAGGUGGAGGUUGGAUCGAUAGAUCGGAUUGAUCGAUAUCUCCACUUCCAACCCAGAGGCUUUUAUCCAUAUGUUACAAAUGCAUAUUCAUACCUUUAUCUACACGCUACCCAAUCUAGGCUCAAUUCUCUAAGUUCGUAAAACUACGAAAAACUACAAAAAACAGUAUCAAAAACCUAUGCAUAUAGCAUAUCUAUUAGAGCAAAAACUCUAUCUUGCUAGUGUAAAAGUUCUAUCUUGUUAUGUGAAAAAUUUUAUCUUAACAUACAUCAAAAACUUUAUCUUAUUUGCACAAAAUUCAUACCAAAAAUUAUAAACAGUACUCUACUCUAUUUUUUUUAUAUCUAAACUCUAUGACUAGGCCUGAAGCUCUGUACUUCUACACUAACAAUUAGGCACUUAGGGUAUGUGAAAUUUAAAGCUGAGGCUUAAAUCUCUACUUUAUGUGUGUGUGGCUUUAUAUAUUUUAAUUUUUCUAAAGGUUUUAAUUCAGUCCCUGCACUUCUCACUCUCUGCAGGGGAUCCAUGGAAUCAUGGACUCCAGCAGGUCCCCCUGAGGGAGUCCAAGAUUUUCAGUAACUGCAUCUUCUACUUUCCAUUCCCAAUCAGCUUGUCACAGCAGUCUCUUCAUGGGUUUUAAAAAGGUGUCUGCCAGCUUUUUACAGUCAAAUGGGACCAUUAAACUGCUAGUAAAUACGUGACUGAGUAAAGUCUGCACAUAAGGGUUUGUCAGUCCAUAUUACAUCACCGCUCUUGGUCCCUCUCGGACGAGCUUCCAAUCCAGAGCCACCCACUGGUGUUGGUUUGGGUUACCAGGGGCAGAGAUUACCGGGAAAGCUUGCAGAAGGAACUCACCCUCAAUCAAGGCUUCUCGUAUGAUUCCCCGCCACUGCCGAGCAGGAUCGUAGCCAUCAUGGGACCUGAGGUGACUCAUGAAAUUCCGUUCAGGGCUUCCUCUCCAGUGCUCGGGGGCUCCACUCCUCUUCCCGCUGCCACAGGCACGCUCCUAGCCGUCCGGUCGAGUUAAUCAAGGAUCAGUCAUUCUUCACAUUCCACAGUACCGAUCCGGAAUCUUGCUCCUGUUGUUUCCUCCUCUCUCCUCGCCACUGUUUCAUCAUCAGGGUUACUUUUUCUGGAGAGUUGAGCUCGCACAUCCUCGCUGCUGGUACGGUCCAGAUCAGGACUCCGAGAAUCCAUGGAAACAUGGACUCCAACACAAGCCCUCCUCACUGCCCUGAGGAUCUUGAACUCCACCAUCUCAUGGUCACUGCAGCCAAGGCUGCCUUAGAGCAUCACAUUCUCCACAAGCUCCUCCCUCUUGGGACCAAAGACGACUUUCAGCCCAACAACAUAAACAAUGAUGGACUGAGAAGAGGAACAAGAAGGAUGGAACCUCACAACCGGAAGCUGUAAUUGGACAAUUAAACCCCAAUAUUCAAAUGGACCAAAACUUAUAAAAAUGUAAUAUCUUGUGACAGGUCAGCCAUUUUUCUUGUGGCCAUUCUUAGUCCACCCAGGGUGCAGCCUUGGUCAGGUUCCUGUCCUGCCCAAGGUGGAUCCUGGAGGCCUU